Molecule: ribosomal RNA, 253 nt
Filed under: uncultured bacterium
Lineage: Bacteria
Description: partial 16S ribosomal RNA
Rfam family: Bacterial small subunit ribosomal RNA
Source: RNAcentral
UACGUAGGGACCAAGCGUUGUUCGGAUUUACUGGGCGUAAAGGGCGCGUAGGCGGCAAUUCAAGUCAUCUGUGAAAUCUCCGGGCUUAACUCGGAAUGGUCAGGUGAUACUGCUUUGCUAGAGUGCAGAAGGGGCAAUCGGAAUUCUUGGUGUAGCGGUGAAAUGCGUAGAUAUCAAGAGGAACACCUGAGGUGAAGACGGGUUGCUGGGCUGACACUGACGCUGAGGCACGAAAGCGUGGGGAGCAAACAGG